This 1248-nucleotide ribosomal RNA is filed under the name Enterococcus faecium. Its description in RNAcentral is "bacterial SSU rRNA". It matches the Rfam family "Bacterial small subunit ribosomal RNA", at positions 208 to 1444 of the family's 1533-position model. Lineage: Bacteria; Bacillati; Bacillota; Bacilli; Lactobacillales; Enterococcaceae. The record is from RNAcentral.
CGCUUUCGGGUGUCGCUGAUGGAUGGACCCGCGGUGCAUUAGCUAGUUGGUGAGGUAACGGCUCACCAAGGCCACGAUGCAUAGCCGACCUGAGAGGGUGAUCGGCCACAUUGGGACUGAGACACGGCCCAAACUCCUACGGGAGGCAGCAGUAGGGAAUCUUCGGCAAUGGACGAAAGUCUGACCGAGCAACGCCGCGUGAGUGAAGAAGGUUUUCGGAUCGUAAAACUCUGUUGUUAGAGAAGAACAAGGAUGAGAGUAACUGUUCAUCCCUUGACGGUAUCUAACCAGAAAGCCACGGCUAACUACGUGCCAGCAGCCGCGGUAAUACGUAGGUGGCAAGCGUUGUCCGGAUUUAUUGGGCGUAAAGCGAGCGCAGGCGGUUUCUUAAGUCUGAUGUGAAAGCCCCCGGCUCAACCGGGGAGGGUCAUUGGAAACUGGGAGACUUGAGUGCAGAAGAGGAGAGUGGAAUUCCAUGUGUAGCGGUGAAAUGCGUAGAUAUAUGGAGGAACACCAGUGGCGAAGGCGGCUCUCUGGUCUGUAACUGACGCUGAGGCUCGAAAGCGUGGGGAGCAAACAGGAUUAGAUACCCUGGUAGUCCACGCCGUAAACGAUGAGUGCUAAGUGUUGGAGGGUUUCCGCCCUUCAGUGCUGCAGCUAACGCAUUAAGCACUCCGCCUGGGGAGUACGACCGCAAGGUUGAAACUCAAAGGAAUUGACGGGGGCCCGCACAAGCGGUGGAGCAUGUGGUUUAAUUCGAAGCAACGCGAAGAACCUUACCAGGUCUUGACAUCCUUUGACCACUCUAGAGAUAGAGCUUCCCCUUCGGGGGCAAAGUGACAGGUGGUGCAUGGUUGUCGUCAGCUCGUGUCGUGAGAUGUUGGGUUAAGUCCCGCAACGAGCGCAACCCUUAUUGUUAGUUGCCAUCAUUCAGUUGGGCACUCUAGCAAGACUGCCGGUGACAAACCGGAGGAAGGUGGGGAUGACGUCAAAUCAUCAUGCCCCUUAUGACCUGGGCUACACACGUGCUACAAUGGGAAGUACAACGAGUUGCGAAGUCGCGAGGCUAAGCUAAUCUCUUAAAGCUUCUCUCAGUUCGGAUUGCAGGCUGCAACUCGCCUGCAUGAAGCCGGAAUCGCUAGUAAUCGCGGAUCAGCACGCCGCGGUGAAUACGUUCCCGGGCCUUGUACACACCGCCCGUCACACCACGAGAGUUUGUAACACCCGAAGUCGGUGAGGUAACCUUUU